CCUACGGGAGGCAGCAGUGAGGAAUAUUGGUCAAUGUGCGGAAGCCUGAACCAGCCAAGUAGCGUGCGGGAUGAAGGCCCUACGGGUCGUAAACCGCUUUUGCACGGGGAUAACACCCUCCACUUGUGGAGGUCUGCAGGUACCGUGCGAAUAAGGGCCGGCUAAUUCCGUGCCAGCCGCCGCGGUAAUACGGAAGGCCCGAGCGUUCUCCGGAUUCAUUGGGCUUAAAGGGAGCGUAGGCGGGCGUUCAAGUCAGCUGUAAACUCGCGCGGCUCACCCGCGCCCCGAAGUUGAAACUGGACGCAUUGAGUUCACAACAGGCAGGCGGAAUUCGUGGUGUAGCGGGGAAAUGCAUAGAGAUCACGAGGAACCCCGAUUGCGAAGGCAGCCUGCCGGGGUGCGACUGACGCUGAGGCUCGAAGGUGCGGGUAUCAAACAGGAUUAGAUACCCCUGUAGUC
Molecule: ribosomal RNA, 459 nt
Filed under: uncultured bacterium
Lineage: Bacteria
Description: partial 16S ribosomal RNA
Rfam family: Bacterial small subunit ribosomal RNA
Source: RNAcentral